AUAAUGGGUCAGCGACUUAUAUUCUGUAGCAAGGUUAACCGAAUAGGGGAGCCGAAGGGAAACCGAGUCUUAACUGGGCGUUAAGUUGCAGGGUAUAGACCCGAAACCCGGUGAUCUAGCCAUGGGCAGGUUGAAGGUUGGGUAACACUAACUGGAGGACCGAACCGACUAAUGUUGAAAAAUUAGCGGAUGACUUGUGGCUGGGGGUGAAAGGCCAAUCAAACCGGGAGAUAGCUGGUUCUCCCCGAAAGCUAUUUAGGUAGCGCCUCGUGAAUUCAUCUCCGGGGGUAGAGCACUGUUUCGGCAAGGGGGUCAUCCCGACUUACCAACCCGAUGCAAACUGCGAAUACCGGAGAAUGUUAUCACGGGAGACACACGGCGGGUGCUAACGUCCGUCGUGAAGAGGGAAACAACCCAGACCGCCAGCUAAGGUCCCAAAGUCAUGGUUAAGUGGGAAACGAUGUGGGAAGGCCCAGACAGCCAGGAUGUUGGCUUAGAAGCAGCCAUCAUUUAAAGAAAGCGUAAUAGCUCACUGGUCGAGUCGGCCUGCGCGGAAGAUGUAACGGGGCUAAACCAUGCACCGAAGCUGCGGCAGCGACGCUUAUGCGUUGUUGGGUAGGGGAGCGUUCUGUAAGCCUGUGAAGGUGUACUGUGAGGUAUGCUGGAGGUAUCAGAAGUGCGAAUGCUGACAUAAGUAACGAUAAAG
Molecule: ribosomal RNA, 706 nt
Filed under: Escherichia coli
Lineage: Bacteria; Pseudomonadati; Pseudomonadota; Gammaproteobacteria; Enterobacterales; Enterobacteriaceae
Description: partial 23S ribosomal RNA
Rfam family: Bacterial large subunit ribosomal RNA
Source: RNAcentral